AACCCUCUGGCUCAGUUGGUAGAGCAUGGUGUUUGCAAUGCCAGCAUGGUGUGUGCAACGCCAGGGUUGUGGGUUCGAUUCCCACGGGGGCCA
RNAcentral lists this transfer RNA (93 nucleotides) under Salmo salar (Atlantic salmon). It matches the Rfam family "tRNA". From Rfam's summary of the family: Transfer RNA (tRNA) molecules are approximately 80 nucleotides in length. Their secondary structure includes four short double-helical elements and three loops (D, anti-codon, and T loops). Lineage: Eukaryota; Metazoa; Chordata; Actinopteri; Salmoniformes; Salmonidae. The record is from Rfam by way of RNAcentral.